This 991-nucleotide ribosomal RNA is filed under the name uncultured cyanobacterium. RNAcentral describes it as "bacterial SSU rRNA". It matches the Rfam family "Bacterial small subunit ribosomal RNA", at positions 545 to 1533 of the family's 1533-position model. The record is from RNAcentral. Lineage: Bacteria; Bacillati; Cyanobacteriota.
CCGGAAUCAUUGGGCGUAAAGGGUCCGCAGGUGGCCAAUCAAGUCGGCUGUUAAAGACCGGGGCUUAACUCCGGGCAGGCAGUGGAAACUGAUUAGCUAGAGUACGGUAGGGGUAGAGGGAAUUCCCAGUGUAGCGGUGAAAUGCGUAGAUAUUGGGAAGAACACCGGUGGCGAAAGCGCUCUACUAGGCCGAAACUGACACUGAGGGACGAAAGCUAGGGUAGCGAAAGGGAUUAGAUACCCCUGUAGUCUUAGCUGUAAACGAUGGAUACUAGGUGUAGCUCGUAUCGACCCCAGCUGUGCCAAAGUUAACGCGAUAAGUAUCCCGCCUGGGGAGUACGCACGCAAGUGUGAAACUCAAAGGAAUUGACGGGGGCCCGCACAAGCGGUGGAGUAUGUGGUUUAAUUCGAUGCAACGCGAAGAACCUUACCAGGGCUUGACAUGUCGCGAAUCUAGCGGAAACAUUAGAGUGCCUUAGGGAAUGCGAACACAGGUGGUGCAUGGCUGUCGUCAGCUCGUGUCGUGAGAUGUUGGGUUAAGUCCCGCAACGAGCGCAACCCUCGUCCUUAGUUGCCAAUAUUAAGUUAGGCACUCUAGGGAUACUGCCGGGGACAACUCGGAGGAAGGUGGGGAUGACGUCAAGUCAGCAUGCCCCUUACGUCCUGGGCGACACACGUACUACAAUGGUUGGGACAAAGGGCAGCAAGCUCGCGAGAGUAAGCGAAUCUCAUCAAACCCAGCCACAGUUCAGAUUGCAGGCUGCAACUCGCCUGCAUGAAGUAGGAAUCGCUAGUAAUCGCAGGUCAGCAUACUGCGGUGAAUUCGUUCCCGGGCCUUGUACACACCGCCCGUCACACCAUGGAAGCUGGCUACGCCCGAAGUCGUUACCCUAACCCUAAGGGGAGGGGGAUGCCGAAGGUAGAGCUAGUGACUGGGGUGAAGUCGUAACAAGGUAGCCGUACCUGAAGGUGUGGCUGGAUCACCUCCUUU